UACGGAGGAUCCGAGCGUUAUCCGGAUUUAUUGGGUUUAAAGGGUGCGUAGGUGGAUUGGUAAGUCAGUGGUGAAAGUUUGCAGCUUAACUGUAACAGUGCCGUUGAUACUGGGGAGCUAGGAUUUGGUUGCUGUGGGUGGAAUGUGUGGUGUAGCGGUGAAAUGCUUAGAGAUCACACAGAAUAUCGAUUGCGAAGGCAGCUCACAAAGCCAAGAUUGACGCUGAGGCACGAAAGUGUGGGGAUCAAACAGGAUUA
RNAcentral lists this ribosomal RNA (257 nucleotides) under uncultured prokaryote. Its description in RNAcentral is "partial 16S ribosomal RNA". It matches the Rfam family "Bacterial small subunit ribosomal RNA", at positions 524 to 780 of the family's 1533-position model. The record is from RNAcentral.